CUUUUUCAUUUGUCCCAAAUUAUAGGCUACUUUCUAUUUUAAAAUAAUUUAUUUAUCAGUUUACUAAUAUGCUCCUAUUUAAUAUGCAUUGAAAAAAUAAAAUUCAUUAGUUCCAAUAAUAACUUGGUAAUAUGAUUUAAUAAAUUUCUAACAAAGCAAUAUGAGUGGAGGGUAUAUUAGGAAAAGAUUAAACAAAAUUUAUUACUUUAACUAUAUUAAUCACAUUUUCUUAAAUUAUGUGAAAAUAGAGUUUGUCAUUAUAAUUUUUAGUUCCGUUCAUUCAGGAGAGUCAGAAAGGAAUUGCUGUACAUCCUAGAGGCUCGGAAACAACAACAGAUGAGACCACAAGUACUAAGGUAUAGUUUCAAACAUAAGCAUUUGCACAAAAUCCAUUCAUGGAAAUGUGCACAUACUAUACUUGGACCAAAAUACACUACAGAGAUUC
This 445-nucleotide unclassified non-coding RNA is filed under the name Hevea brasiliensis (rubber tree). The record is from RNAcentral. Lineage: Eukaryota; Viridiplantae; Streptophyta; Magnoliopsida; Malpighiales; Euphorbiaceae.